Molecule: ribosomal RNA, 253 nt
Filed under: uncultured bacterium
Lineage: Bacteria
Description: partial 16S ribosomal RNA
Rfam family: Bacterial small subunit ribosomal RNA
Source: RNAcentral
UACGGAGGGUGCGAGCGUUGUCCGGAAUCAUUGGGCGUAAAGGGCGCGUAAGUGGCGGGACAAGCGUGCGGUGAAAGCCUGGGGCUCAACCCCGGGUCGGCCGUGCGAACUGUUUUGCUUGAGCACUGUAGAGGCAGGCGGAAUUCCUGGUGUAGCGGUGGAAUGCGCAGAUAUCAGGAGGAACACCGAUGGCGAAGGCAGAUCUCUGGGCCGUAACUGACGCUGAGGAGCGAAAGCGUGGGGAGCGAACAGG